Molecule: long non-coding RNA, 2173 nt
Organism: Equus caballus (horse)
Lineage: Eukaryota; Metazoa; Chordata; Mammalia; Perissodactyla; Equidae
Source: Ensembl
CCCCAGAGUUCUUUUACCACAGUCUUUGAUGUCUGCAAGUGGAACCAUUUCUCAUUGGUGCUAAGAUGACUGCUUGAUGUAUGGUCAGUGUGGUGACCCUUGGGUCCAGUCCUUCAUCAGUGAUGUCACAAUUAAGACAUGAAAAGCCACAAUUCCGCCUGAGCUCCAUCAUGGACAAAUGUGGUGAUGUCAUCCCUAAGUCAAUGAACUCCCACUGCUUUUCACUCAGCGAAUCCUAAAGAUGUCUCCAGGGAGCCUGGGGUCUGAAAAAGGGGCGACCUCUUCCACCACAUGGCACCUGACAGGAGACUGAGGACAGGGAAGACCACCCCCUCCUGCAGGUAGGAUAUCCCUGAGGGCCCACCUGGCUCCAUCUUGUCUCCAGUGGGUCUUGGUAACCAUGCUGGGCUCCUGGAGGGCUACUUCCAGGUCCCAAGUCAAAAGAGACUGCUCGAUACAUGGUCCCAUGCACAGGGCCAUCUAUUUUCAGGACAGCCUUAAUGUAUCUUUUUGAGGUGAUAAACCCAGGAAGGGGCAGUGCUGAAAGGAGAGAUCACCCAGAAUAUUUUGUCGAGAGGAACCUGCACCAAAGGUCUGACAGCUGCAUGUCUGCGGCCCGGACACAGCCUGGGAGGAGAGGCGGAAGGAGUUCACACAACGCGCUUCCAGGUGGAUGCGCUACUUUUUUCUCAAGUAAAACAUUUAUGAACGAGGAAUAAACUCUCUUAAAAGGGCCGCCCACUGACUAUGGAAAAAUGAUAAACAAUUAAAAUAUCGGGUCUCUUUGUGGUUGAUAAUGAUGCUGUGAAUCGGAGACGGGAAGCUGGCGUUCGGGAACGUGAGGAGGGAUCUGGGAUUUUAGGGAUUUAUUGUCGGUCCUGGAAGAGCUGGGGGGACAGGGUCAUGGAUUUGAGACGCUGCUCCCCAAACAUUUACAAAACUCAGGAGAAAACGGGUGCCCCCUGUGGAGAAAGGAGGCCCUGGGGACCCACAGACCGCAGCCCCUCCGCGCACGGACCCCGGAGCCCGAGGCCCGACUGUCCUGCGGGCCCUCCCGCGGGCGCCGCACCGUCUGGGACACGCGGGGCUACGGGCACACAGCGGGCCAGAGACGCUCCGGCCCAAGUCGCCGCGCGCAGGGAACACAGGACGCCCGGGGCCCGGCUGCCGGCCCCGCCCCCACGCUGCGGCCGGAGGGGCCUGAGGGCCGAGCGGCGCCACCGCGGACGCAGAGCCCGGAGGGGACCGCGGGAGUCCAGGAUCCCCUGGGGUCCUCUCUACGAUUCGGUAGAGGACGCAGCGCGACAGAGUUGACAGCAGAGCAACCUGAGGCGCGGGCGACUGGAAGGACCGGGAUGCGACAGGAAGUCGGGAGCGGUUGCGGGGCGUUGCCCCGCCCACCUGCCCUGGAGCCGACCCUGAUUGGACAGUUGGAAAGGACCCGCCCCCGCACUCCUGAGUGACAGCAGGACAGAGAACGUGUUUUGUUCUUUAGUAAGCGCAUCUCUUUUCAUUAUAUAUACUGGGAAGUGACUUUAAAAAUGUGAGUGUGUGUAGAGGAAGCUCCAUCUUUGACUUCAGGAGUGUUCCAUGGAGAAAAGUUGAUUAUAUUUCCACGGAGGUGACGGCUCUGUCACCUCACCAGAAAACACUCAAACUUGUCUGCUCAUGGAACUCACACAUGGUGUUAACCCUAAAUCUCCACAUUUCAUGUAUAUUUUGCUGGACUGUGACUUUCGUUCAAUAAUGUUUUGUUAAGUAUAGUGUAUGUAUUUACACAACGUUCAGCAAAUUGACUCCCUCAUUAGUUGUAGUAAUUUUCCAGUUAUUUUAUCUUUAGUUUGUCAAAUAAACAAUGCUGUCAUAUUUGUUUUUUCCAUCUUAUUCAUCAGUUUCAUCAUUGUGUUUUCUGACAUGAAGUUAGAGAUUAAAGCAAUGAUAAAUACUUGGAGUGGAAAGAAACAUCUGUGAUGGUUGUCUGGAUUGCCUCCUCCUUUCGAUGGGCUGCCUCUCACACAGCAGCUCCUCUUCAUGCUCUGCUCCCAAACAUCUUCUAUGACUACCAAGCUGACCUGGCAGUCAUUGUGCCUAAGAGUGACCACAGGAUUUUAACAUCAUAAAGUGACUAAAAAUACUCUGGCACCAUCUUCAGAUUUCAACCAAGAGCAAGGGC